RNAcentral lists this ribosomal RNA (254 nucleotides) under uncultured bacterium. RNAcentral's name for it is "partial 16S ribosomal RNA". It matches the Rfam family "Bacterial small subunit ribosomal RNA", at positions 524 to 776 of the family's 1533-position model. The record is from RNAcentral.
CACGUAGGGGCCAAGCGUUGUCCGGAUUUAUUGGGCGUAAAGAGCUCGUAGGCGGCUCGGUAAGUCGGGUGUGAAACCUCCAGGCUCAACCUGGAGACGCCACCUGAUACUGCUGUGGCUAGAGUCCGGUAGGGGAGCGUGGAAUUCCUGGUGUAGCGGUGAAAUGCGCAGAUAUCAGGAAGAACACCCGUGGCUAAGGCGGCUCUCUAGUACGGUACUGACGCUGAGACGCGAAAGCGUGGGGAGCGAACAGG